GUGUGUUUGAAGUAAGAAAAUCCUCUAUAAUCUCUUAAAGUUGUUAAUAUUUUUUUCUUUUUUUAGUAGGAGGGAGGGGAAAAAUCCCCCACAUUUAUUAAAGAAAAACUAAAAGACCCUUCCAAGUUUUUUUUUUGUAAACUCUUUUCCUGCUUAUUUUGUUAAGUCAGAGAAUGUCAUUUUCAUAUAAGUUUGGUUGACAAAAACUAACUAAAAAAAUACUCC
RNAcentral lists this long non-coding RNA (225 nucleotides) under Capsella rubella. Its description in RNAcentral is "long non-coding RNA (CRUB_LNC002178)". Lineage: Eukaryota; Viridiplantae; Streptophyta; Magnoliopsida; Brassicales; Brassicaceae. The record is from RNAcentral.